CGGGCUAUAGCGCAGUUGGUAGCGCGCAUGCAUGGGGUGCAUGAGGUCGUGGGUUCAAAUCCCACUAGCCCGACGA
RNAcentral lists this transfer RNA (76 nucleotides) under Candidatus Magasanikiibacteriota bacterium. RNAcentral's name for it is "Candidatus Magasanikbacteria bacterium tRNA-Pro". It matches the Rfam family "tRNA". From Rfam's summary of the family: Transfer RNA (tRNA) molecules are approximately 80 nucleotides in length. The record is from RNAcentral. Lineage: Bacteria; Candidatus Magasanikiibacteriota.